RNAcentral lists this ribosomal RNA (253 nucleotides) under uncultured bacterium. RNAcentral's name for it is "partial 16S ribosomal RNA". It matches the Rfam family "Bacterial small subunit ribosomal RNA", at positions 524 to 776 of the family's 1533-position model. The record is from RNAcentral.
UACGGAGGGGGCUAGCGUUGUUCGGAAUUACUGGGCGUAAAGCGCACGUAGGCGGCUUUGUAAGUUAGAGAUGAAAGCCCAGGGCUUAACCCUGGAAUUGCCUUUAAGACUGCAUCGCUCGAAUUGUGGAGAGGUGAGUGGAAUUCCGAGUGUAGAGGUGAAAUUCGUAGAUAUUCGGAAGAACACCAGUGGCGAAGGCGACUCACUGGACACAUAUUGACGCUGAGGUGCGAAAGCGUGGGGAGCAAACAGG